This is a non-coding RNA of Phalacrocorax carbo (great cormorant), 9231 nucleotides long. The record is from RefSeq and is a predicted model, not a curated record. Lineage: Eukaryota; Metazoa; Chordata; Aves; Suliformes; Phalacrocoracidae.
AGUAAGCUUUCGAAAGAAGAAAAAAAACCUGUUUUAACACAAGAUGCAAGAGUUAUAAUCUGAUUUAUUGGUGCCACUGGUGAGAGCAGAAAGUAUGAUUACUUCUAAGCCUCUGCUAUCAGAUUGCUGAUGAUUGCAAAAUUUCCUUGCAUUUUUCUGAGAGAGUGGAGGAGUGCUUGUCUUUAUGGCCAAAUGAGCUUCCUCUCAUGUGUUUUCUUCUGCACUUGGAAUAAGUCAUCCACAGAGAAAUAAGUAGAUGCUGAGACAUGGAGAUUAAGAGCUGAAAGGUGGUAAGGAACACCUUCCUAUACCAUUUCUGAGUUGUAGCUGACCAUAUGAAGAUGAACAGUAUUUACGAAUAGGUGGAGUUGACGUCUUUGUACUUGGCAGGAAGGUUCACACAGUUAAUUAUAGCUGAGCAAUCACAUACAAAGCUGGUCCUUAUUGCCUCUAAGCUGCUUGCUACUUGCUCAACUCAUUUGUAAUUUUCAGUGCUGUGGCAUCCUUUGACUUCUGCAAAACCUUUAGUCUAUUGGUCAUAAGAAUUAUGACCAAUGGGAGACAUUGAAACUUCUGUAGGUAAUAGUCAAAUCAGCUUUCUGCGCCACCAAUAGUGGGUAAACGGUUGGCCUAUUAGACCUCCUAUGGGAUUUUUUUUCAAAUUCAAAACCUUUUCAUACAAAAAUGGUAACAGUCACAUCAAAUAACUUCAAUUUCAGCUCAGGUUUCUGUUCCUGGACAGUAUUUUGUCAUGUCCUUCAAAGGAAAGUACAAGACCGUUUAUAUCAAUUUGCUGUCUAAGGGACUUCGCUUUAUGGCUUCCUUAGUUAGAAGUUGCCAUAUAUACUGGUGCAUCAGGUUUUAAUAGGAUCCGGACAUUAAAAGAAAUCUGUCUAACUUACGAAGGGCUCAUUACCCAUAUUUCAGCACUUCAGAGAGGAGGACUUAUUUCUGUAUUUAUUUUGCUGUCAAUUUAGUUGAAUAAUGGCAUAACUUGUCAGGAUUUUAAAUAGGCAUUUUCCAGCAUUUUGAUGGGAAUUAAUCUGUCAAAUGUAGUAAAUAAAAAGAGAAAUGUAAAAAUUUCAAAAAGAUUAGCAGGAUAUUCAUAAAUUUGAAAACCAAACCAAACCUUAAAUUAUGCAGUUUACAAUUGUUCCCCCUCAGGAGUGGAUGUUGGAUAAAUUACAGUGCUGUAUGAUACUUUGAAAGUGUGUUUUAGGAUUUUCUUAAUUAAAGAAAAGAGAAGGGGAGAAAAUCUUACAACUUUUUUUGGAAGAGGAGAUAAGUUAUAAUUUCUUUCAGAUGCAGUCAACUAGCUAUAGUGACCCUUCUCUUUUUUUAGUUUUCUUGGAUUACUUUUCACACUCCUCCUAAUUAUUUCUGACAGCUUUUUUCUUGUGUCUCUGCACUUCAUUCCUGCUGUCAUUUCAAUCUUUGUUUCUGUUCACUGUCUUGUUUGGGUUUAUUUUUCCCUCUUGCUUUGUGUGUGGGUGAUACUUUCAUAUUCUCUGUUUUCACAUUUGACUUCCCUUCCCCUCAGAAUUUUAUUGGCUCAUACUUCAUUCUGAGGUUAGGGAAGGGAAAGGAAUAUAUGCCAGCUGCAGACUCAGGAAAUAUACUCAGCUCUGUGUUUGAAUCUAUAUUUUUUUUAUUAUUUCAGGGUUUUGAUCAUGCCAGUUGCUGAAGAAAUGUGUGUUUCAUGCAGCAGAUACUCCUAUAUACAGGGAUUGCUCCAUACUUAAAUGAAGAAAUUCAAUGAAAGAUUAUAUUCUGUGUGCUUACAGAGUAAUAGGAAGUAUUUUUCACCAGUGAGAACUUAGAAGUAAAAAAUUCCUCUUCAUAACUCAACUGAAUAUCAGCCUUCCAUCAUUAUAUUUUUGUGAAAGCCAGAUCCAUUAAUAAUUUCUUUCUAUUUACUCCAUUGCUGUAUAACUGAUGUAUUGUCAUUAUAUAAUCCAAAUAUUAUAAGGGAUUAAUCCUAAGGGUAUGUUUUAUAGGUAUGAAUUCCCUCAUCCCUUCAACAACCUACUGUAUCUUACACUAACAAACUGCUACUCAAGUACAUAUUCUUCCAAACAUAAGCUGAAGGGCAAUCUUUCCUGGUUUCAUAUGCCAAUCCAGCAUGCACCUUUACACAAUGUUUGUUGAGACUGUCAGACUGAAAUUUCUGAGAACAAGAUCUGGCUAGCACUGUGCAGGAGUGUUCUCUCAGUUUGUGCCCUACUCCCAGUAUCAGCUGGGAGUUCGUUACUCAUCUUUGCUCUGCGUAAAUAUUUUAGUCAUGUAAAAAAAUGAUAGGUUUUCUAAGGGUGACAAGUCCACUUCUAUAGCCUGUAAUGGUAGGAGAGGAUAGUCAUAAUUACUUAUGCAGUAUGUUUGACAGGACUUGGAUGAUGAGGUUUAGGAGAAGUCUAGUAUCUGCCACUCACGUUAAUUUUAUUUUCAAAUGGCACUGGCAAUAUUCUAUAUCAAAGACAGAAAUAGUUUGCAAAGGCAAAUCCAGCUGCAAGGAGUUAAGACGAAGUGUUAGAAAAUUGAUGAAAGAGGAAGGAAGCAAUAGGCUGUACAUUAAAAGAGAUUAUAAAGAGAAUCACCCAAAGUGUAUGUUGAUGUCCUUAUUCGAUUCCCGUAUUUUAUCACUGGUACGUCUGAAGAGUUUGAAAACUAGAUUUGUAGAUGGUAAUGACAUUGGGAGCACAGCAAAUCAUAAUGUAUGCAUCAUCUAGGUUCAGUGCAGGCAGAGACGGGGGAAAAAUGUUUCAAAAGAAGCAAAAUCAAGCCAGAUUAAAAAUCCCAACUACUGUACAUGACCAUCUUUUUUAGCAUUAAAAUGUGUGGUCAACUAGCAUAUUUGGCAAUCUGACAGUUUUUUAUUCCUGAACUGUUACUGCCAGAGCAGCAAGAUUGACCUUCCAAUCCUCCCCCUCCCAGUCAUGUCGUAGUUGGUAUAAAAAGUCCAAAUCAGGCUGCAUCAGAGCAUCUGGAGUUUAUUCUGUACCUUGCUCAUCUAGUUCAUUAUGACAGUAUAGACCUGAUGUUGUCAUAUAUCUCUUGCACUGAGUUGUGCAUACACAUCUGGAUACAAUUCAGUCUUCCGUGUAUUUGCACUUAUCUUCAGGUUUUAUUUAGUAGUGUGACAGAAUAAGGCUACAGGUAUGAUUUCUCUCUUUUAAUUGACUUUUCUUUUGUACAGGAACAGAAAAGAAGCCAGUGUUCAGUGCUAGAAAGGAGAUGUGGUUAUUAAGCCGAUAUGCCAAUACUCUGAGACUGCUGUUCAGGGAGAAGCUGUAACUAAUGACUACUUCCUUGUGAUCUUUAGGGUUGCUGCAAUGACUUAUUUGCACCUGCUUCAUUAAUCACCUCGACUAUCAUCUCGUGGCAUUCAGACAUAUUCCAGACAUACUACCACUGAAAUAAUACUCUGGAAUCUGAAGACUGCAGGCCAAGUUACCUUCAGUUCAUCUUAGAGGUGUUUGUCCUGAACUACUUUUUUAGCCUUUUGUGGUGGACAGAACUGCCUUCAAGUGUGGAACUUGGCUGCAAAGAUCAAUGACCAGUUUUUGACUGUUACUACAAACAAGCUAAAAAACACAAAUGGAAUUUGAGACAUUGUGGCUAUGCUGAAUUGUCCCAGGCAAGUUCAAACUACACAGGUAUUUGACAAUUAAACCUUCCCUUUCUUUCAGAUCAGGGCAGGUAGCAGACAAGACAACAUGACUGGCACAAUGUUGCAUUUGAAAACAUGACUGAAGCCUUUAAAAGGCAGUUCUGCCAAACAGAACAGGCAAAAUAUACUAGUUUCUGCAAUUUGUGCCUGAAUUGCCUUGCCUGUUUCUGAAGUAGUUUACAUAUUGCAAACGGCUGGAUUCAGAACUAACAUAAAUGAACACAAUGCUGAGCACUGCUGGAAUCAUCCAGUCAAAACCAAGUUGAACAUGAAGAGUUAGCCAAAGCACUCAUCCUUUCAACACCUUGGAAACAUUUUUAGAAUGUAUCUCAGACAAAUUAUGGCAAAAAACUGAAGAGAAUUUUUUUUUUUUUUAAUGAUGAAAGCUCAGACCUCCAAAAGUGAACUCCUGAUUCCCACUGGUUUCUGUGAGCCAGGAUUUCAGUCCUGUGUUGCAGCUGGAUACGUAUAUAUCUAUGCUGGUGAACUGGAGAUCACUGUCAUGGGAGUGUUCAGAAGAUUCAUAAACCAAGUCACUUCAAACUCUUUAAAACAUAACAGGGACAGCUCUGUAGGCAGAAUAAUUACUAGUCCUACAGUGGUGAGUGUUUUGGGGGUUUUUGUGUCUUGGAGAUACGUUGUAUACAGGAAUCUAAGUGCUGGAGUGAUUACAGUGUGCAACAUAGUAAAAUCAAAAUGCCGUGCUGUUAGAAUGGAAAAGGGACUUGUAGAAAGCAUCGAAAUUGUGCUGGUGAGGGAUACAAAACUCUUUGUCUCUACAGACAAAGGAUUGGGUUCUCUGACACUCAUUUUUCAGGUACUAAAUGCAAAUUUAUUUAGAAAGUAAGCUGGGGAGAUGCAUGGUUAUGGAUUCUUUUUACAUUUCUGUAAAACCUAAUUAAGCAAGACAUUUACUUAGAUAAAUAAUUACACAAAGCAGGCAAGGUGGUUUUUGUUUUAAUAUUUUUUACUAGACUCUGUUAACUUAUGACCUUUUGAAAAAGAAGUAUGUGAAGAAACAGGUCAUUACAUCGCUCCUUGCCAAAGUAAAGAGUACAGGAUUCUUGAGGCUACUGCUUGGCCUCUCUGAGAAUAGGUACGAGUUUAUCUCUAGCACUGACUGCAUCAUCCACAAAGCUUUACAUAUAGAACAAAUCAUAUGUUCAUCCUCUGUACAACUAACUGCUAAAUACUUCUAAAUAGAAUGAUUGUUCAGUCAACCAUCUUAGUUUUUUUCAUUUUCUUGAGUCACAACAGUCAUUAGCAUAAAGGGCAUUCUCUUAAAAUCCUUCAGGUACUAAUGGAAGUGUCUCUAAAUAAAGCUAAAAUCUGAAAAUAAGCAAUUCUUUACAGUGUAUUGUGUAUCUGAGUGGAAACUUUAAGUCUGGUUAAGGUCAUCUGUACUUCUUAGUUUCAAAGCUACUGUGGGACCUGAACUGUAAACUAAGGCUCCCUUUUCCAGAAAUGGAAGUCACUUUCUGGGGAUAAAACCCUCUAACAGCAAUGAAGACCUCACUGGAGCAGAAGGAGGCAACUCGUUCUUCCCUAUGUCUAUUGGACUGAGUUGGUUUUCCCUAGCAUUUGUAAGAACGUUGGACCGCAUGGGAAAGGUGCAAAGAAAUUAAGACAGGAAAGGAGACUGGAGAAGGUAAAAUAAGAAAUGGAAAAGAAUGAACUUACUAGUGACAAACAUAAUGCCAUUGAUCAGUACUCGCUUAUUGGAGAUGAAAAGUUUACAUUAUGGUCUGGUAUCAGGAAGGUCUCGAAUAGGUCACAGUGCGUUCAUACCACGUACACCAUGUCUCUGAGUUCAGUUUGCAAGCCCUGUGCCAACUCCAUCAUCUUGAAACCAGCACAUCCAUCUUCUUUCUAUACUCUACUGCCUUGACUGACAUUGGCCACUAUCUGGUGCUUCCCAGCAAAUAGGUGGUACUUCUAUACAACAGCUAGAAUCUUCCCCAGGGUAGUUGUGUUCUGCAGUCAUCGCCUGAAUCACCAGGUUUAAAAAUUAUUGAAGAAUGACCCAGAUAUGUACUGCCUGACAGUUACAGAUGAUGCCAGUAGGAUUGGUUUUGGAGUCAAGAUGGAAAAUGGGAUAAGAGUGUGGGAUCCAUUUGAACGUCAGCAUAUCAUUAUUGCAGGUUAUGAAGGCAUACGUCAUACUGUGAUCAGCAAAUUCCAGCUGCUGGAGGAAAGGGCAAAAGCAGUCCUACUUGCAGGUCUGUGAAACUGAAUAUUAUACUGGUAAUGCUUCCCCAAUUCUAUUUCUCAUCCUUCUCCAGUAAUAGAUGACAUGUAGUAUUAAACAUUUACAAGGUAAAAUUUCUAAGUGGGCAAUAAUGUAGAUAGAGAGUGUGCUGCAACUCUAGUAUGGUUUUGGUAUUCUCUUGGUUUUAUUUUUAUUUAAGAAAUGAUGGGUACUUUCUCCUUUGAAAUGGGAUAUUGAGGACUUAAACUUCGCUGUCUGAUGUGGUCAAAAGGAGCCUUAGAAUAAUUCUGUGCCUGCCCAGCAGCAGCUGACAGACUAGGGAGAGUGCAUCCCCCCUUCUGGUCCCUGCACUGGAGAGCAGGAAAGAUGAUCCCAGUUACCAAUCCUUCCCUGUCUCGGGCACCAGGCUAUUUUAAUGGCUCCAAUAAAGUGUUCCUCAGACAACAAUUAAAGGCAUUCUUCAAGGUCUGAAAAGCACGUAGUCCAGAGAGGACAGAGACAAAAAUAGUCAAAGAACAAGAAAGCAGAACCAAGGAAAUAACAGUACCAGAGAAUGUUCAUGCAAAAACCAGAAAUUUGGGGGAGUUUGUUGUCACUGUUUAACACAGGGUGCCUUUACUCUAGACUUUCAAUGUCCAUUUAUAUUCAUUUCCACCACCUAAAAUAAUAACUUAUUCAUUAAUAACCUCAAACAGCAAGAAAGCAGUAUCUCCAUAAAAGCCCAAAGGAGACAUGUAGCUUCCAUGGCACAAGUAUGAAUGCUGGGGCACCUGUGGGCAAAUGAGUUAAUUGCACAAUCUCUGUCCAUCUCCCUCGCCUCUCCAUUAAAAAAAAAAAACAAAAAACAAACCAAAACCAAAACCCAAACAAAUAAAAACAAAAACAAAAAAAAAUCCAAACAAAUACUGUUCCUUGACUGCCAGCAAAUGCAGCUACUGCAGUAAUUGCACAUAGUACCUGUCUGGGCUGCUGUCUCCCAGAUAACCUUGCUGUAUUCCUCACUGGAAGGUUACAGUUGCAAGUAAAUUGUAGUCUUUUCCCAGAAAGUAUGAAACAAAUUUAAACACCUAAAACUUGUCAGAUUUUUAAAUUCAUACUGCAUAUAAUCAUACAGCAUCCAGUUUGCCUCCCACAAAAAUCUCUGCCUCACUGGGACCAUGCAGGGGCAAAAUGAAGUUUGGGUUAGUAUCUAUAAGCCUACCGUUUCCUAGCCUGACUGGUGACCUAAAUAAAACUUUCAGUAUUAGGUUUUUCCAAGAUGUAAUUUAUACUAUGGCUGUCAGGAGUUAAGAUAGCAGUUGCCAUGGAGCUUUAAUCUUUUUUUAGGCUUUAGUCAAAGGAAGCUGGAAAUCUGUAUGCUGGGUAGAACCCCUCUCAACAGAAUUUUAUUUAAAUUGGGACAGGAUUUUAUCCUAAUUUCUCUACUGAAAGUUAUGCUCAAGGGUUCUAGAAUUCUUUUUAUUUUAUUCUGCUUCUCAGCAGGAGAUGAAAGUUUCUUUUUAGGCUUCUUAAAUCACACUACAUUCAACCACAGAAGUACCCAAAGUCACUUCCCCUCAUACUCCUCCAACUAUGAACUGUAACCUUCUACUAGUCUUAAUGUUCACAGCUAAUCAUUGUAGUGAAGUUCAUUCACCAGUUUUACUAUUUUCAGUGGAGGUACUCCGUAAGUGUGCAGAAGCAAAACUUUGGGGAGGAUUUAAUUUUCUGUGUGCCCACUAAGCGCUAAUCCCUACAUUGGAAAACAGGCCUUUGGAACAGGAGAAGUAAUUACAGUUUGAAUCCGUGUGUAUGCUGCUUAUAACUUCCUUGAUGUGUAUUUAAGAAAAAAAGAAGCGUGCAAUGCUUGAAGUGCAUCUCUGAGAACUACGAAAUUGGCCAUGCUAUAGUCAGCAAUGUUCUGCUAGAACAUAGUUGCAGCAGAACAGAGAUGCAGUCCCAUCUAACACUUGCAAUUAAAACAUUGCUGACUGACUUAAAACUGAACUUAUCCCAUCAGGUAAGCCAAAAGAAUGCAGAAAUAGGUGGGGAAAAAAUGCAGAAUUUGUCAAAAUAAGCUUUUAGAAAUCUUACCCUACCCCAACCAAAAAUUAGAAAGGUUUCAGAUGCAAUAUGAACUUGAUCUUAAGAGACUUGGAUUCAAAGGCAAAUUACAGCUUCAUUUAAUGAAAAAUUCACCAGAAUUUUCACAAAAUAGAACUGUGUACUGGCCAGCUCUAGUGGAAAUCCAUAAUCCUUGAGCUAUUCCAAAGAGUGCUGGGUAAUCAGAACAUUGGUGCAAAAGAGAGGAUUUCAAACUUCUUCAACUCUUUCAUGGUAUGUAUUAUAUAAGAGGCAUGAUAAUAAUAAAAAAUAAACAUCUUUUUCCUUCUGGAAUAUGUAAGUCUGAGGAACUUGGACAGUUGUACAGUAACAUCUGGUUUUACCACUGCCAGCAAAAUGUCUUACCUAACUAGCACUGGACAGAAAAGCAAUUCUUGUGGGUUUGAAUGCCAACCCUGCUCAUCAUCUUGAGAGAAUCAGAUGCAAAACCAACUGUCCUUUCCACUGAAAAAAAGACUCUUUUGGAGAAGUGCUCACUAGCAGCCAGGAAGAACCUGAAGAAACUAGACUGUCUGAUGAUCAAAGACACAAGGAGCAUCUCAGAUCUCUUAAAGACAGCUAUUCAGAGGUCUAAUUGUUUACUGUGCCCAAGAAAAGCUAUGCACUGUGAAUAGGAUUCAGAAAGCCAUCACAGUCAAGGAAACUGCUUAAAGUAGCUCAAAAGAACUUUUGAGAGGUGAGGUGAAUAAGAAGUGCAUAUCUUCAAGAACAGAUGCUUGGCUCUGAAUUGCAGGGAGAUACUAAUCUCGUUUCAAGGUUUUCAACCUUUCUUGAUUUAGGCUCCUAUAGGAAUCUCUUACAAAACAGCAAGCGCCACUGCUUUCCUAACUUCAUCUGACUGGCCUAGUGCAGACCUUCCCAACAUACAUCUCAGUGAAUUUGUCUGGUCUGUGUCAUUCCACAGGUCAAACCAUACUUGGCCUGCCUCAAGUCUCCUGCGCAGAGACUAGCCAGGGUUGCUAGUCCUGACAGAGGAAGUUAUGCUACUUCUAAGCUGUAGCAUGAGCAAGUUGCUUUUUCUUUGCCCACAAGACAUUUGUUUGCUGAGGCUCACUGAGUAGAUAGGCUGCCUUUCAGGAAUACAUCUGUCAUUUUGAGUAUAAAGCAGGCUUCAGCAAGCAAUAGCAAUAGUUACAAAGAUAGUAUUAGUUUUGAAAUAGGCAAUAGAAGAACUUCAGCUUUUGGCUGGGAUAGAGUUAAUUUUCUUCACAGUAGCCACUCUGGGGCUAUGUUUUGGACUUGUGCUGGAAAC